ACUUGAGCCGAAAUUAAGAGUCGGGUGCUCAGCCAAGGAAGCCACCCAGGCGCCCCUGUUUCUUUUUAUUUUUUAAAUUAAGCAGCAAGAAACAAAGCUCUUCUUCCUCUGGAUGGGGUGACAGAACAGGAUGGUCCCAACCCCGAGGAGGCUGUCUUCUCUCUGGGAGGGGAGGGGAAGGGAGGAGGAACCUGCCCCUGACAUCUCCCCAUGGCCCUGCAUGUGACCCUUCCUCUCUGACUUCACGCAAGACUUGUCUAGUGGCCCCAGAGUCACCCUGAGGGAGGCUUCUCUGAAUCGAAGGAAUCUGUGGCCCCUGGCAAGCCAGUUGGGAAAUUGAGAUGUUUGGGUUUUUAAUUAAAUUUCUUCAGUAGAGACCAGGAAUGUGGUUAACCAAAGAGCUGAGAUGGUCCCGGUUUCUAAUUCCACCCUGACCACUGUGCUUUUCCGCCUUUCCUGGAAUUGCUCUCUUGGUCACUUUCCGCUGACCUGGUUUUAUCCUGUUCCCCUCCCUUCCCCACCCGAGCCCCUCAUGCUGCAUCUGAACUCAUGUCUUUCCUCUCCUCCGUGUUCAUUCUCUCUGCCCUUAUCAUCCUGGUAUCUGUCCACCGGGCUCUGACUUGGGGAAGAUGCUUGUGUGGCUGCAUUCAUGGCUCACAGUCGAAAUGGCCAUUUGAUAUCCCUGUCCCCUAAACUAGGACCUCGUCCUGUUCCUUCCGCACCCCUGAAUAAGGGUUCAACAGAUGGGAUCCACCAACCAGUGCCGGCCACCAGAGCAGGAGUGUUCUGUUGGGAAAGAGCGAGAAGCCAACCUUCCACAGGCUCGUAGCAGGUGUUCCCAGCAUCUCUUUCUUAAUCCUUGUAGGCCUGGAGGCGGGCAUUAUUACCUCUGAUGUCAGACGUUUAGAGACUUGAAGGAACACCCUUAAUGCCCAAGAGCCUGGCAGGAUGGAACCAUGGUUCCGUGUCAUGCCUGACACUGGGGUCCCAUCCUGACCUAGUCACCACUGUCUGUGUGACAUUGGACAAGUCACUGGGCCUCUCUGGGCUCACUUCCUCAUCCGUAAAAGAAGAGUCUGUUUUUAGAUUGGGUGCUUUUGGUUGCGAGUUAGAGAAACCAAUUCUAACUGGCUUAAACAAUCAAGUUUGGGGUUGUUCAUCUACCUGGAAAGUCUAGGAGUUGUGCCUUGGGGUGAUUUGGCUCUCUGUUUUUCUCCAGUUCUUUUUAUUCUUAGGUUUUAAUUCUCUGAUGGAAGCAGAAAGGGCAGGGGUAUUGGCACACCCCUGUCUCUACAGAUCCAGAGCGAGAGAAUGCCUUCAUUUCAGCUUUCUGGAGAGCUGGCCCGGCAGCAGGGCUCACCCCUGGACCCAUCCCUGUGGCCCAGUGGGAUACACUGAUUGGCUGUCCUGUGGUCACAUGCCUCACAGCGCCUCUGCAGGUGGAGGCGGCUUCCCUCUACCCAAAGCCACUGGGAUGUGCAAAUGGGAGUGAAGGCCGUAGGAACAGGGAAGGACGCAGAGAAACAUCGGAAGUUCGCUAUGAGUAAACUGGACCACUGGAUAAUCCACCAGAAUGAAUGGUGGGCAGGGGGUUACUUGUGUUUCCCGUUGUAUAGCUAGGACCAAGGGGGGUGGCGGGGUGUUGUAAUGCUCAGUGACAGGUGGCAAAUGGAUGGACCUCUCCAGUUCUUUCCUCCUCUGAGCUUCUGGACCCGAGAUUCUAUUUUUUUUCACAGGACAUCCUCUUGCUCCAUCAAGAAAUGGGAUUUGGCCCUUGGACCUCCAGAUCUGGCCUUGCAGGGGAUGGCCCAUAUCUGGGUUCUCAUUUACCUGCAGGAAAGGGUUGUUACUGGAAUAGCAACUUGACGCUUGGCGUGGCUGCUGUCACCUGAGAGGACACAUUUUGUCCUAUUCCUGAUAUGAAAAGCCCAGUGAUGGGAGAUGGGGCUAAUGGAUGUGCGCAGACUUCUUGCGAAGCUCCUGCAUGUGGCAGCCUGGGGAGGAGCCCGAGCGCCCCGUUAGACCAGACAGAGGGCUUGUCCUGCCGCAAGCACAUAUGUGGACUUCUCUAGAUGGCUCCUUUGCGUCCACACAUUCACAUGCCAACUGGUGUCCCAGCUUCCGGGGGCUCCGUGUUAAAGAGAUGGCUUCGCUCUCCAGGCUGUUGAACUCCAGGUGGGGGGCCGUAUGUGCUUGCUUUGUCUGCAUGUCAGACAGGUAGGCUUUGAGGAGCACUGAUUUAUGCUCGUGGGUCCUGUGAGCUCUAACGGCCGCCACGCUGCCCUGGCAGGUGCUCUCAGCUGCCCUCGUUUGCCGUUGUGAGGGGGAAAGUUCAUGGUCAUGUUGAGAGAUCAUUUCUACCCCCAAGCAUGAGUGUGAUUCGGCUUUUUCGCAAGGGUGGUGCGGUGGAGGGGAGGGGGUGAUUAUCAUGAUUAAAGUGAUGGAGGUCCUCAGACGUGUGCUAGCUUCCGCGUUUAGUACUGCCCCGUUGAAUAGACGAGGAAGCUGAGGCUCCCAGGGCUUCCGUCACUUGUCCAGAGUCACCCUGCCGGCCAGUGGCAGAGCCAGACCUCCAUCUGCUCCAAGUUGGCACUUGACUGCAUCUAUCUCGCCUCAAGCUGCAAGCGUGGAUCCCUGCUUCUUCUGGAAAGUGCUCAAAGUCACGGAUCAGAUGGAUUUGAUAAGGUCUCUGUAGCUGUGAUUCAUCUUUCGCCCCUUCCUCCGGAGCAACCACAGACAAGUUUAAGACAGUGCUUCCUUGUCCCUUCUCAGUGAAGUCAAUGUUAAAAAAUUUACACCAAACCAAUCGAAAGAUUCUUCUGCCAGAGUUUCGCCGAUGAGGAGCUAUCGUCAACUUCUCCCCGGGUUCCAGGCCUUUCCCUGAGGUCUACCUCUUCUGUUUUGCCAUCUUCCCAUUAUUCCCGGCGGAUGGAGGACCUGGCUGGGAGAGCUGGAAACCACUGCGUGCCAUUUCCCAACCGGCAGGCAUGGAGUCAGGAUCCUCAUGCAGGUGAAACCAGAGGUUUGAGGCUGGCCUGCGUAGGUGCUCCGAACCAAGAAAGAAGGGCAAGACACAAAGGCCUGGAAAGGAGGGGCGGCUAAGGGCUGCUCUUCCUUGCCCACACGUCCCGCCAGGAAGCCGGGCGGGGCUGGCGUGUGCCGCCAGGAUCCCCGGGAAGGACCCGGCUAAGAUGGGACCAUCUCCUAAGAGGCAAGAGCUCUGGAUCUGAUUAAGACUUCCUCUUCCGGAGAAUGAAGAACAUUCUAGAUUGGAGAGGACAUUGGAGGAGAAAGUAAAGACUCGUGCACUGAGGAGUAGUCUGUGUCUGGACCUGCGUGAGCCGGACGUGACCUGCAUAUAGCUGGCGAGACACCGUCGUCACAGACCUCGUCCUUCCUUCUUGUGGGAGACAUUCCCUGUACCGUCGCCUGGUCUUAAGACUCCGCCCCCUGCUCCGCGCCCCAACCCCCGGGAACCACAGGGCUUUCUACCGCACCCUUUGUCUUGCCCCCCGGCUCCCCCGUCUGCUGUGCCUUUGGACGCAGUCAUUCUUGUUUGCUCCAUUAUCUUCCAGCCGGAUACAGAGUGAAUAGUUAACUACACUUAGGUCAAAUGGGAUUUUAAUUUUCGUUCCUGUUCCUUCUAAAGCGGCCGGUGUUUGCGUUGCUCUGUGAGCAACAUUGGAAUAGUACGUCCUCUCCCUUAUUUGGGAUCUGGCCCCCUGGGGUUCCAGAGCGAGGCAGGUGAGUGCUGAAGUUCUUCAGGGCUCUCCAGUGUCAGGGACACCGGAGGGGCUCCUGCAGGGGAGCUGGCUCAGGACGGCUGGCGUCCUCCGUGUCCAGCUUCUUUCGUUCGGAUCACACGCAGGUGUAUGUCUGGAAGAGUGAAAAAGACGAUUUGUUCAUCCCAGCUACCUUCUACCUUUUUUAAACUGUAUUUUUGACAUAUAACUGACAUACUGUUAUACUUGUUCCCCACCUGUCUUCUGUUGAGGCAGACGCACCGCCCGCUAUGAAGACCCCCUCCCCCCCCCCCCCCCCACCUCGCAGGUGGCAGUUGGGACCCAUGCCAGAACAUGGUGCUUCCUUACAGACAAUCUGGCUGCCAGAGCUGGUGUGUUUAUUGAGGAUCCUCGUCCCCCAGAAUGCCGAUGACACUCCUGACGGCAGGUUGGGCCUCGUGAAACACGAGUCAAAUAUUCUGUCACCACCAUGCGCAUGGCUGAAAGCACUUCUAGAUUCGAUCUUGUCUGCGUUGCAGAGCCAACGAUGUCUGCACGUCCUGCACCCAAAAAAUGGAUGGCUCAUUUUUGUAGAAAGAAUUAAAGCUGUACAUAUCCACCUUCUCUGUGUUGUAGGUGAUGGGUUUCUGUGACCAUUUAAUGACUUUGGUGUCUUCUAAGGGGAACAACGGGGACCUUCUUGGCAUCUCAGAUUCACCACAAAAUGAGGGAGGGGACCCUCUUGAGGAAAUUUCAUGCUGUUGAAAUGUGAAGCUUGUCUGUGGGCUUUGCCUUCCUUCCUUGACAUGCACACAGACUCCUCGUCCUGGUUAGAUUCCUUCAGGUUUCAAGGAACAGAGAUCCACUUACAUCACUUCCGUGAAUGAGGGUUUAUUCCAAGUUGCAUGGGAAUGGAAGUAAGGUAGACAGGAAACAGUCUACCCAGCAGCUGCCCGGCAAGACCUGUCUAGAAGCCCAAAGUCAUUCAAGAUAUCCAUUCGCUACAGAGUUUCCAGGAAGAGCAGGAACUCUGACACCAUGGUCAUUUUGACCUUCUGUUCAGCAGCAGGAAUCACUGCUCCUGCUUCUCGCAUUCGGAGCUGUUCCAGUUUGCCCAGGGCUGAGCAGUUUUCCGGGACACACGACUUUCAGCAAUAAACCUGGGACAGCCCUGGGCAAACCAGAAUAACCGUCACCCUAGUGGGUGACUUGAUGACACUGCCUUUGCUGCUGCUUUACCUGCUGUAGCGAGCCGAUGCUCUCGAUUAGUCUGGCCAGCUGCCAUUCGGAACCCUUGUGUCUGACCACGUCGUUGACCACCAGGUAGGCUACAGAUGGAUGCCAUUGGAUCAAGCACCAAUCUUGACCAAAUCUGGUGUUUCCAGGGUGGUAGGGUUCCAUGAUACUGAACAAAAGCCUGGGUGUCAUGAACCAGUCGAGACCACAUGCUUCAGAAGAAGUGCUGUGGAUAGUGGAUAUGGCAGCCAUUCAAAGUAUCAGGGAUUCCUCUCCAAUACAGUCCUACUUAAAAAGAUGAACCUAACCUUUCAUGUUAAGAACAAAGCAAAUCAGUAGGAAACAAAAACAGCUACCGGGAACAGGAGAAAACAGACUACGAUGUGUGCAUGCACAUGCGUGUGAGAUACACGCACAUACCACAUAGAAUAAGCCAAGAAGAAAAUGAUGCAUCUUUGCAAGAUGGAGGCUAAGAGCUAAUAAUCAUUGGGAUGGAUGGGGGCACCUGGGUGGCUCAGUCGGUUGAGCAUCCGACUUCGGCUCUGGUCACAAUCUUGCUCGUGGGUUCAAGCCUUGCGUCAGGCUCUGUGCUGAUGGCUCAGAGCCUGGAGCCUGCUUCAGAUUCUGUGUCUCCCUCUCCCUCUCCCUCCGCUCCUCCUUUACUCACACUCUGUCUCUCUCUCUCUCUCAAAAUAAAUAAACGUUAAAAAAAUUUUUUUUUAAUGAUCGGGAUGGCAUUGUCUGGAGAGCAAAGGAGUUGGCUGGAGGACUUCCUGAAAUUCCUUUGAACUCUAGGAUUCUUUGAAAUCUCAAGGGUAUGUAAGUUGGACCCAAGUGUGUACUUUCUCUCCAAAGUCUCCCAGAUAACCUUUGAGUUCAACUCCGAUCAUAUUGAAUGGGACCUCCCAGCUCACUCUUACCUUUCCAGACACUGACUUUAUCUGGGAUAAAGGAGCGGAACUUGGUGGUGGUCGUGGGCGGUAGAGGACGGGAAGGUUGUGUCUGCCCAGUUUUCGGUGUUCAUGACAAGUAAGAACAAUCUGAAGGCAAAUUACAGGUUCUUUUCAGGCUAGGCAGAUCCGGGCUUUCGGGAUUGCAUACCAUUCUGAAGUUGUUGCUUCUUGUCAAGGGAUCAGGCCUCCAUCUUUGCUGUUGAAAGAUGGGCACGAGUGUCUGCGGUACUGGAACACGAGCCUUCGGCUAAUCCCGCGCCUCUCGCACGCCGUGGCCACAGGGAGGUCUUCGCCUACUGAGGUAGAAUGAGCACGCAAAAGUCUAGGAACCAGUCUCUCAUUACUCCUGUGUAAAAACUGAGAUUCCCCCGUGCACCUGAGUCUUUGCCCUUGUUCAGACUCUCUCCGCCUUCACCACCCUUGAAGGAACACUAGCCCAGCUCCUUCGACGCUGUUUUUCUUUUUAAAAAGACAAACUCAUUUCAGACAUUUCCUUCAUUUAUGUCCCACGUACAGUCUUUGGUUCCAGAAGUCUCGCUGUUGUGCCAAAGGCAACAAUCUCCUCUUUCUCUCUCUCCUUAUCUUCUCAUUCACAUAGAAACACAGAACCCCAGAGCUCGAAGUGGUCUGUAGCAUCACCUUUAUCUAGAUUUACCUCUGACUGAUGCAGGAAUCCCCUUUCCAACAUCAGACGAGGGACUGUCCAGGCCUGGGGGAGGCAGCCAUUUUGGCAGAGUGGGAGAGAACGGUGAGAGAGGGGUGGGUGGUAUUCAGCCUGGUGGGGAAGUGGUAGGAUUUUGAAGAGCAAUUCAUAGACUGUCAAGAGACCCUGAAUGUCAAGUUCUUAAUGAGAUUUCGAGGCAGAUGCUUCUUGCCCUCUCCCUGACGCACAUCAGUCUCUCUCUUCUGGAUCUCGCGUGUCUUCUGCUGAUAAAAACCACAGAGUGGGGAGACCAGGAAACCUGAGUUUUCAUCUCAGAGAGCCCCUCACCUUCAAUCCUUCCCUGUAAAAUGGAGGGGUCGGGCCAUGUGAUCCCCAAAGCCUCUUCUGUCUCUGACAUCCACAGGCCGUCCUAUUUAAUAGAGUCCAUGACUUGAAGAUUUGCUGGGGUUUUUUGGCUCAAUAGGAGAAGAGUAAAUCAGAUGUUGCCCAAGGUACAGUGUAAAGCCAUUUCAUCCACAUCCUGAACCAAUUCAUCUUGCUGCAACUCAUUAUGAACAGAACCUCAAAUUAGCACCCCAGCCCCAAGAUUUUGUUCAGGCUUCCCUGUGAAAUUUUUCCCGUGGCACUGAAUCUUGACCCACAGGGACUUUUGAUCAUCUACAAAGGGAAACCCUGGUGGUGAUGGAGAGAUAGGAGCUUCUAAUCGUGAAGUAAGGCCCUCUGCUCGGGAAUAUGCUUUAAAGGGCAUCACAUUGACCUUGGGAAUGGCCCUUGACCUUGGACAAGACCCUUCAUGCCAGGCUGGUGGAAAGCAGGGCUGGUUCCCCCUACCUCUGCUUCAGAGUGAGACCUUCUUUGCCCAGGCUACAUCUGUACCCUCGUCCUUCAGCGUUAGAUCCGUUUCUGUGGGUCUCAGUUUUCUCCUCCACCAAAUGGGAGAAGGAAGUUGGUGAUCGUCUCGGGUCCCUCCCAUGUGUCAAGUUCGAAGCCUCCUCUGACCCAGCUGAUGCCUGCCUUUCCUCUGCCAAGUAGCUCCUCUCCCUUGAUCCUCGGCUGCACAAGCCAAAAACCAGGGCUGUCCUGGGAAGUCCAUUACCAAAGAAUACUUCAAAGCUGUUUGCACUGGUUGUCAGUUGCACUAAACUUGAGUUUGUUGAGGCAGAAGAUAAAUAGACAUACAGACUGAUGGCAGGCACGGGGAAGGGGGAACUACUAUUUGCCCGGGUGACAAGGAGCAGGGGGGAGACCUGCCUGCAGUUUUGACCAAUAAAUAAAAACUGGUCGCUCUGUGUGGCUACAACUGGAGGGGAUUUAUUAGUUUGCUUAGUGAAAAGCAAAUAUUAAGUCUUAAGUUGACCCGUCCUGGGACCUGCCUUUUGGCUUUUGUAUGCCGUCCGGCACCGAUCACCAUGUACUUUGGGUUAUCGAGUUCUGUCAAAGGGUGGGGUUUUUUUGUGUUUUGGUUGUUUUUUUUUUUUUUAUUGUUUUCCAUCUCCUCCUUUUCUCCGUCCUUUGCCUACCUUCCUCCCUGUUACUGUAACCUCAGGUCUGGGUUUUAAAGGCAUGGGGAUAGCAGGGUGUGGAAGAUGCAUCGUCCUGGUCAUGAAGCUGUCUAUAUUCAGGGCUCCCACCGGCCUAGGGACUGCCCAGUUCCCGGAACGGAGGCUCAGGGGGGAAGGGGUUGUGAGCCCACCAGGUGGUCCUUGUGGGGCCCCUCCGUCCUCGGCCCUGAGCAUAAUUAUGGGCAAUAGGAAAGGCUACGCAUUCAUAUGUGACUGUUCAUGCUGAACAGUGAUUUCAGCCAGAUGCACUGAAAGACGAACCACCGAAGGUAGCACUGUGAGUGCUAAUUGGGGUCUGACCAGGGUUUCUCACGAUCCGUGGAGCGAAACGUCCAGACCAGAGGGGCUGGACAGACACCUGAUCUCUCCAGUUUCCAAGUAUGAGCUGCAGUGAAGCUCAACAACAUGAAAGAUUCUUUACCCUUUGCCUCAAGCGUCCUCAGUGCGAGCCAGUCUGUUCUGAAUCACUGCAGUCUGUGGCUUCUCGGGCCUCAUGGGUGCUGCUCGCUGAUACCUACCACGGUGGGCACAGGGCACAGGGCUGCAUGUCAGACCCUCAGGGCCCUGGCCACUCUGACAACUGUCCACAGAGGAUGCACCUUAAGGGCCAGUUCAGGAUAUCAUGGUUCACUGCCACUACUCCUGUAGCCAAGAGUUGGGAACGUUCUGGAAUGGCUUCAUUAAGAACGUUCCUUUCACAUUCCAGUGGUGAUUUUUGAUUGAACUCAGCACGAUUUUUAACUCAUGCAAUUUUAACUCGGCAAUUUAACUCGGCAAUUCUUCCUGGAUGAGUCUAUUUUUAAAAAGGUCGAUGUUGGGUACCCAGGCUGCUGAAGUCCUACUGAUCCUUCAAGGCUCAACUCAAAGGCUCCGUUCUCUGGGAAGCCUCCCUGAAUUCCUUCUUCCCUGUCAACCGGGCACGUGUCCUUUUAAAGCAGCUGGCAUUGGACGGGUACUCGAGAGAUGCUGAUCUCUCCUUCCUGGACCCCGGCACUUUUCAUAUGUCUUUUACUGAGCUUACACUCAACUUAUUUUAACUAUUCCUUCUUCCUUUUAACUGUCUCCUUCUCUCCCCCGUCCCGACCCUUGUAAGAGCAGGACCUGGGUCACUCCUUAUGCAUUGAAAUUUAUCCCUGAGAUGCCCCCUCAUGUUAAUGAUCACAUGGCAGGCACUGUGGUUGACAUUUAAUCCUCAGAAAACAGAAUCACAUGGAUCAGUCGCUUGGACCAAUUCUUACAGGUGAGGGUUCAGAUCAAAAUUGAGGUCAUUAAAGGGCCUCAAGUUCAGAGCUCUUCAGUUGCUGCGUGAUGGCUUGAACAUGGCAGAUGUACAAGAAAGAUGUCAAGUUGAGUUUUCCUACUAAUGACCUGUCACUGUGUUGCCCACCAAACUGCCAGUUUCUUGUUUGCCCACUAUUCAUCAAUAAAGUGUUUUCUUUUUCUGAA
Felis catus (domestic cat) is the source of this 9583-nucleotide long non-coding RNA. RefSeq lists it as uncharacterized. The transcript is spliced from 3 exons. NCBI's taxonomy places the organism in Eukaryota, Metazoa, Chordata, Mammalia, Carnivora, Felidae. The record is from RefSeq and is a predicted model, not a curated record.